AUGCGCGGNUAGGCAUGCAGUCGAGCGAUCGGUUCUGACUUCGGUUAGAAUACGGAGCGGCAAACGGGUGAGUAACACAUUAGUAAUCUACCUUCGAGACGGGAAUAGCCCAAAGAAAUUUGGAUUAAUGCCCGAUGGUCAUGGGGGGACAUAUGUCAUUCCCAUGUAAAUCCUACGGGGCUCGGAGAGGAGCUUAUGUCUGAUUAGCUUGUUGGUAAGGUAAAAGCUUACCAAGGCUAUGAUCAGUAGCAGGCGUGAGAGCGUGACCUGCCUCACUGGGACUGAGACACUGCCCAGACUCCUACGGGAGGCUGCAGUCAAGAAUAUUCCGCAAUGGACGAAAGUCUGACGGAGCGACGCCGCGUGCAGGAAGACGCCCUUCGGGGUGUAAACUGCUUUUAUAUGGGAAGAAUUCGUGACGGUACCAUAUGAAUAAGAGGUUGCUAACUCUGUGCCAGCAGCAGCGGUAAUACAGAGACCUCGAACGUUAUCCGGAUUCAUUGGGCGUAAAGCGUCCGCAGGUGGUUUGAAAAGUUGAUGGUCAAAUCCUAGAGCUUAACUUUAGGACUGCCGUCAAUACUGUCAAACUUGAGGCUGGGAGAGGCAAGCGGAAUUCUCGGUGUAGUCGUAAUAAGCGCUGAUAUCGAGAAGAACACCAAAGGCGAAGGCAGCUUGCUAGAACAUGCCUGACACUCAUGGACGAAAGCGUGGGUAGCGAAGGGGAUUAGAUACCCCCGUAGUCCACGCCCUAAACGAUGUGCACUAGGCAUUGGAAGUAUCGACCCUUUCAGUGCCGUUUAAAAAAGCUAACGCGUUAAGUGCACCGCCUGGGGAGUACGGCCGCAAGGUU
This 850-nucleotide ribosomal RNA is filed under the name uncultured bacterium. RNAcentral's name for it is "bacterial SSU rRNA". It matches the Rfam family "Bacterial small subunit ribosomal RNA", at positions 40 to 895 of the family's 1533-position model. The record is from RNAcentral.